This is a non-coding RNA of Coturnix japonica (Japanese quail), 469 nucleotides long. Lineage: Eukaryota; Metazoa; Chordata; Aves; Galliformes; Phasianidae. The record is from RefSeq and is a predicted model, not a curated record.
AGAGCCUCGGUGUGACGUACCUGUCGCAGUUCCCCAAGGCCAAACUCAAACCUGGCGCCCCCAUCAGGGCCCCCACGCUGCGACCUGACCGCGUCCGCGCCUAUGGGCCUGGGCUGGAGCCGCAGGGGAACACGGUGCUGCAGCCGGCGCGAUUCACGGUGGAGACGCUGGAGGCCGGGACUGGGGAGGUGCUGGUUUAUAUCCAGGACCCCGAGGGACACACCGAGGAGGCGCAGGUGGUGGCCAAUAAGGACAAGAAGCGGACGUUCUCUGUCACCUACGUCCCCAAGGUGGCCGGGCUGCACAAGGUGACGGUUCUGUUUGGCGGUCAGGACAUUACGGGGCAGCCCGUUUGCGGUUCAGGUGGGGAUGGCGCUCGGCGACGCCGGCAAAGUGUCGGCACGAGGCCCCGGCAUCGAACCCAGCGGAAACGUGGCCAUAAACCGACCUACUUUGACAUCUACACCGC